UACGGGGGGAGCAAGCGUUGUUCGGAUUUACUGGGCGUAAAGGGCGCGUAGGCGGUCAGCACAAGUCAGUUGUGAAAUCUCCGGGCUUAACUCGGAAAGGUCAACUGAUACUGUGCGACUAGAGUGCAGAAGGGGCAACUGGAAUUCUCGGUGUAGCGGUGAAAUGCGUAGAUAUCGAGAGGAACACCUGCGGCGAAGGUGGGUUGCUGGGCUGACACUGACGCUGAUGCGCGAAAGCCAGGGGAGCGAACGGG
This 254-nucleotide ribosomal RNA is filed under the name uncultured bacterium. Its description in RNAcentral is "partial 16S ribosomal RNA". It matches the Rfam family "Bacterial small subunit ribosomal RNA", at positions 524 to 776 of the family's 1533-position model. The record is from RNAcentral.